CAACCCUCAAACCCCACGGUUUGGUGUUGGAGAUCGGCAAUCGUCUUCUUCGGAGGACGCGCCGUCUCCCAAAUCUAUUGGCGGUCACGCUGUAGCUUCCUAUGCGUAGUAGCACACCUCGCACUGGAAAGCAGCGCGGCCACGCCGUUAAACCCCCCACUUUCUGAA
RNAcentral lists this unclassified non-coding RNA (168 nucleotides) under uncultured Cylindrocladiella. RNAcentral describes it as "sequence contains ITS2". The record is from RNAcentral. Lineage: Eukaryota; Fungi; Ascomycota; Sordariomycetes; Hypocreales.